Long non-coding RNA from Leptonychotes weddellii (Weddell seal), 2019 nucleotides. RefSeq lists it as uncharacterized. The record is from RefSeq and is a predicted model, not a curated record. Lineage: Eukaryota; Metazoa; Chordata; Mammalia; Carnivora; Phocidae.
ACACCUCACAACGCUCUCCCCAGCAGGGACCCACAUAUUACCAGAAAUUUGAGUCAUUAUCUCCUUGGCUUCAUCCACCUUGUCUGGGCUCCUGGCUUCCCUUGCACCCUGAGGUGUAAAACAGUAACUUCCAGGGUCCUUUGGGUGACUGUAUAACUUCACCAUAUUUAAUUAAUGCCACUUGCAUGCACGAAUAGUUACAGACAACUGUGAGUCCCUAGAGGGCAAGAAUAGUCUCAUUUAUAUUACUGUACUCUCCAAUCUAAAACCUCCUGAUUCACAGGCUGUACCCUUUAGAAAUCGGUUUGAUUGUUACAUUAAGGGUGGUGAUCGUUUUCUCUCCUAUUGUGUCUGGAAAAGGAGGUAUCUGUUCUUCCUUCCCCCACUCCAGAAACAGGUAGGGAAAUGCACAUGCCCCAAACUGCUCACCCAGAAAACAAAAUCAUUACAGAGUGCCUGAACCUGUUAAUGGAAAAUCUGGAAAAGUGCUGAAACAGUCAUGGUGAGAGAUUACAUUUCCCCCACAUGAAAGGCAGGCUUCUCAUCAAGCCAGGAAAACCCAGAAGACUGACUACCUUAUACAGAGGUAAACAUCAACACCAUCAAUGCGGAGAAACUAAACACGAAUCGCCCAUUUCAAAGGACCUGUGACCUGUCUUCUGAAUGCUUUCUGACAUUCAUUUUUCCCUUCAGCAGUAUCACACACAUUAAACUCUAUCACUCCAUCUUCAGUGUAACAAUCCAUGCAGAUCCCACCAGCCCUUUUCCCAACACGCAUUACCCUGUGUGCCUGCUCGCAGAGCCCUGCUUUCAUAAGCCUAAUAGUUGGUCUGGAGGUGGCCCCAUGACCCCACCUUCGGCAGAAAGAUAUCAGAGAAGUCUAUUAGAUGCUCCGGAAAAGAUUUCACCCCCAGCAAGAACAUGGUUCGAAAGUUCUCCUCCUGGCCAAAAAUAGCGGGAUGCCCGGGCUAGUGAUGCAGACACUGAGAUCCUUUUAGAGCCUGGACUCUUUUCCAUAAACAACUACUAAAGUCCAAAUCUUUUUAUUUUUAGGUUGUCUAAGGCCAUGUUUCCGCCCUGGCUGGUUGCCCGUCUGACCCAGCUCUGCUGAUAUAAUGGAUCCUGCCUGGGUGAACAACGAGGCAGUUGUCACAAAUCCCUGUCUAUUUAGCAGGCAAUGGACUUAGCACAGGGGUUUCAAUUAGUCUCUUGACAACUUCAGACUCAAGGACUCCUGUGUAAUCAGCAAGAUCUUUAAUCCCUCCUCACCACCCACACCAACCUCCCCUCUAAUACAGCACCCCUAUUCUCUUGAGCAAGAGGGAAAAUUCUGUCAUUUUCGUUCUUAAUGGAAGCCUGACAUCUGCAGACUACCUGUGCCAUUCCCCUGGACCACUGGCCAAAUCCUAAAAUGUAGCUUAAACAUUUGUGAAGAAAGUCUACCUCUGUAAAAGGCAAAUCAAACUUAUCGCUACCAUACAAGGAAGCAAUCUUUUUAAAAUCAGCUGCACACAGAAAAGGGUGAAACUGAUGAAACCUGUGGGAAAAGGAAGAAGAGUGAUUUCCCCAAAUGCCUACCAUAUCUGCAGCCUUCUAAAAUCACAGCUGAAAUUAACUGCAGUAGAGUACACAUCUUGAUAUACUGACUAUAUGAACGUGUAAUUGUUUUUUUAAUUCUUUAAAAAUCACUACAUGAACGUGUCAUUGUUUUUUUAAUUCUUUAAAAAUCACCUAAAACAGUAUUUAAGUAUUAUAUAGAAUGGGAUAUGCAAUGCAACUACACAACCGGAACGUAAACACUUUCCAGGUUGUGGAACCAAAAUUACGUCACAGCUUCAGGGGCUAACGAGGGGGGAUCAAAAUUUAAAACAAACCAACACCAAGUGAUAACAUGUUAGCCAUCUGCAGGAAGAGACAAAGGAGGCAGUAAGGGAAAAUAAAAGCAUGGAUGCUAAGCCACUCUCAAAUUUAAAAAUACCGUGUGUACAAAGUUGUGUCAGCUGUGAAAAUAAAAAUAUA